Patiria miniata (bat star) is the source of this 120-nucleotide small nuclear RNA. RefSeq annotates it as U5 spliceosomal RNA. The record is from RefSeq and is a predicted model, not a curated record. The transcript has a single exon. NCBI's taxonomy places the organism in Eukaryota, Metazoa, Echinodermata, Asteroidea, Valvatida, Asterinidae.
UCACUCUAGUUUCUCUACAUUUCGUACAAACCUUUCGCCUUUUACUAAAGGUUUCCGUGCAGAGGAACAAAUUUAGAGUCUUACGACCAAUUUUUCACUGCCCUGUCGAAAGAUGGGGCA